GGGGGAGGGCGGGGGAAUCACUUGCAAGAAAGAGCGAUGGAGCCCUUCGGGGUGGAUUAGUGGCGAACGGGUGAGUAACACGUGGGCAAUCUGCCCUUCACUCUGGGACAAGCCCUGGAAACGGGGUCUAAUACCGGAUAACACUCUGUCCCGCAUGGGACGGGGUUAAAAGCUCCGGCGGUGAAGGAUGAGCCCGCGGCCUAUCAGCUUGUUGGUGGGGUAAUGGCCUACCAAGGCGACGACGGGUAGCCGGCCUGAGAGGGCGACCGGCCACACUGGGACUGAGACACGGCCCAGACUCCUACGGGAGGCAGCAGUGGGGAAUAUUGCACAAUGGGCGAAAGCCUGAUGCAGCGACGCCGCGUGAGGGAUGACGGCCUUCGGGUUGUAAACCUCUUUCAGCAGGGAAGAAGCGAAAGUGACGGUACCUGCAGAAGAAGCGCCGGCUAACUACGUGCCAGCAGCCGCGGUAAUACGUAGGGCGCAAGCGUUGUCCGGAAUUAUUGGGCGUAAAGAGCUCGUAGGCGGCUUGUCACGUCGGAUGUGAAAGCCCGGGGCUUAACCCCGGGUCUGCAUUCGAUACGGGCUAGCUAGAGUGUGGUAGGGGAGAUCGGAAUUCCUGGUGUAGCGGUGAAAUGCGCAGAUAUCAGGAGGAACACCGGUGGCGAAGGCGGAUCUCUGGGCCAUUACUGACGCUGAGGAGCGAAAGCGUGGGGAGCGAACAGGAUUAGAUACCCUGGUAGUCCACGCCGUAAACGUUGGGAACUAGGUGUUGGCGACAUUCCACGUCGUCGGUGCCGCAGCUAACGCAUUAAGUUCCCCGCCUGGGGAGUACGGCCGCAAGGCUAAAACUCAAAGGAAUUGACGGGGGGCCCGCACAAGCCACCGGAGCAUGUGGCUUAAUUCGACGCAACGCGAAGAACCUUACCAAGGCUUGACAUAUACCGGGAAAGCAUCAGAAGAUGGUGCCCCCCCUUGUGGUCGGUAUACAGGUGGGUGC
This 1000-nucleotide ribosomal RNA is filed under the name Streptomyces sp. Its description in RNAcentral is "bacterial SSU rRNA". It matches the Rfam family "Bacterial small subunit ribosomal RNA", at positions 35 to 1044 of the family's 1533-position model. The record is from RNAcentral. RNAcentral also lists the same sequence under 1 other name. Lineage: Bacteria; Bacillati; Actinomycetota; Actinomycetes; Kitasatosporales; Streptomycetaceae.